AUUGACCUCAAAUCGGGUGAGACUACCCGCUGAACUUAAGCAUAUCAAUAAGCGGAGGAAAAGAAACUAACAAGGAUUCCCCUAGUAACUGCGAGUGAAGCGGGAAAAGCUCAAAUUUAAAAUCUGGUGGUCUUUGGCCAUCCGAGUUGUAAUUUAGAGAA
Molecule: ribosomal RNA, 161 nt
Filed under: uncultured Russula
Lineage: Eukaryota; Fungi; Basidiomycota; Agaricomycetes; Russulales; Russulaceae
Description: partial 28S ribosomal RNA
Rfam family: Eukaryotic large subunit ribosomal RNA
Source: RNAcentral